UACGUAGGGUGCAAGCGUUGUCCGGAAUUAUUGGGCGUAAAGAGCUCGUAGGCGGUUUGUCGCGUCUGCUGUGAAAACUCGGGGCUUAACUCCGGGCCUGCAGUGGGUACGGGCAGACUAGAGUGCGGUAGGGGAGACUGGAAUUCCUGGUGUAGCGGUGGAAUGCGCAGAUAUCAGGAGGAACACCGGUGGCGAAGGCGGGUCUCUGGGCCGACAUUGACGCUGAGGAGCGAAAGCGUGGGGAGCGAACAGG
RNAcentral lists this ribosomal RNA (253 nucleotides) under uncultured bacterium. RNAcentral describes it as "partial 16S ribosomal RNA". It matches the Rfam family "Bacterial small subunit ribosomal RNA", at positions 524 to 776 of the family's 1533-position model. The record is from RNAcentral.